Molecule: long non-coding RNA, 923 nt
Organism: Folsomia candida
Lineage: Eukaryota; Metazoa; Arthropoda; Collembola; Entomobryomorpha; Isotomidae
Exons: 2
Source: RefSeq, a predicted model, not a curated record
CAUAAUAUCGUACAAAAGGUACACCCUGGCUUCUGGCCAUUUCACUCAUUCUUCAGCCCUCACUUCACACCAAAAGUUCACUUAUGCAUUCAACAGGAUGCCGAUAAACCGAGGCAAUUACAGCCCCAUAAAUUAAAUUCUUACCAACUCAUCUGCUGAAUUUUUAUUUCUAAUUUAAAUUCUGUGUAUGAAUCCUUCUUAUGUUGGCUCUUUAAAAACAAUUAACUCUGAUUUUGCGGCGCAGCAGCAUAUAUUAUACGCAAGUGUUUGUUACAUAUGUACAUGCGAUGUGGGGGCACAGUAUGUGACCGACGCUGUUGAUGUCAUGUCCAGUCAAAGAAAUAAUAACCGGCUUCACAGAAUACACUAUACACUCCACCUUAAGUGAGCAAAGGCAUACCCACUAAUUAAAGAAUUGACAAGUGGAAGCCUCGUGCUGAGAAAAUAAUUUCAAAUUGCGAUUUUGACAAGAGUGACGAUCUUUUUGGCCGGUGCGAUAUGGGUGUUUAAAACAAGUAUGGGAUUUUAUCCAAUUGACGGAUAUAAGAAACCGGAGAGUGCGGAUUAUUGGAGACGAGUGAUUACUGUAAUGAUGAGAAUGAUGAAGACGAGAUAAGAGUAAUUUUCAUUAAAGCGGUUGCUCAGUUCCAUUCCCAAAUUAUAGGGUUCGUGUAUACGGAAAAAGUAUUGUGCAAAUUUUCAAUUGCAAAAUGAGACAUUCUGCUGAAUCUCGUGCAAUUCUGAUUCGUUACAUGCCCAUACAACAAUGUGUGGUUCUUGAACUUUGUGUUUAUGAAAUUGUUGUGCGUGUAAUGAUAUCAAAUAAUAUGUAGCUGCUUGUGUGGUUUUGUUAUUCUUUGAUGGUUCGAUGGUUUGAUGCAAAUAAAGUAAAAUUCCUUCGUUUCAAAACCCUUCUUCAUGAU